Molecule: non-coding RNA, 1020 nt
Organism: Kogia breviceps (pygmy sperm whale)
Lineage: Eukaryota; Metazoa; Chordata; Mammalia; Artiodactyla; Physeteridae
Source: RefSeq, a predicted model, not a curated record
AUUGGAUGAGGAGUGACAUGUCCCUGGACGCUCUACAUUGGACAUGCUGCUGCAUCUUCCAGGUCUGUAGUCCUUUUGGGCCACCGGGAGCAUUUCUGAACUGAUUUGCUGACAUAAGGCACCACCAGAAUUGACAAGAAUUUUAAACAAAUUAUUCCAAAACUGAAUGGAAGAAGAUGACGGAGAGAAGGAGACAGGUGGUACAGGAGAAGAUGAGAGAAAUGAUGAGAGAGAAGCAGGAGAAGGCCAAGAAUGCAGGCAUGAAUUUAAGAUGGUGGAGGCUGAAGCUGUGCCUUCAAGUUGGAGUUGUGCAUCUGGCUGGUUCUGCCAGCGGAAGGAGUGAUUCUGUUAUCAUUGAUGCUGUAGCUUCUAGGAGGAAGGGAGGCAAAUACACAAAGAAACGAGGGUCAGAGAAAGUAUCUGACUUGCCCAAGAGAUACCAGUAGGAAGUGGAAGAGUUCAGAUCCGUGUUUCUCACGCCUGAGCAUGCAUCAGUGCUACAUGGAGAGGUUGUUUGCUGGGCCCCGACACAAUGUGUGAAUCCGCAGAUCUGGGUGAGGCCCUAGAACUUGCAUGUCUCACAAAUUCCCAGGUGUUGCAGAUGCGGCUACUGCUCCAAUGACCCGGCUUUGAGAACCACCAGAUUAAAAGACAAGCCUUCUGAUUCCUAAGCCUGGUCUCUUCUCUCUAAGCCACACUUCCCUACAAAUGGCAGCAGCUCCAAUUGGCUUUCUCCUCCAGCUGUUUAAAAUUCAUCUUUCUUUAAAAUGUAAAAUGCAAAGUUUUAUUUGAACAAUUCAAACCUUUACAAUUGGAUAUCUUCUACCUUAUUAGACUACUUAAACAAAAAUGGAAAACACCUUUUUUUUCUACUGGUAGAACAAUGGCUAAUCAUGGUUUUAAAGACUAUUUAAAGAAAAACUGUGGUUUGCCAAGAAAAUGUGAACUGUUGAAGGUAUUGUGGCAUUCAUAUAAAGGGCCUCAUUUGCUGAAACGAGAGAUUUAAUAAGUAAAGGUGUA